This 816-nucleotide long non-coding RNA is filed under the name Homo sapiens (human). RNAcentral's name for it is "HSALNT0381363". The record is from RNAcentral. Lineage: Eukaryota; Metazoa; Chordata; Mammalia; Primates; Hominidae.
ACUCCCGGGCUCGCCGCGAGCAGCCGCGAGCGCUCCACCUGCCCGGGGUCCUAGGGGUCGCCGCCGCCGCCGCAGCCACUUCGGCGGCCCGCGAUGCUGCCUCCGCUGCCGCCGCCGCCACCGCCGCCGCCCUGUGCAUUAUGGGAGCGGGAGGAGGCUGCGCUCCAGCGCUGCCACCGCGGCUGCUCUGGGCUCUCUCGGGCUCACGCUGCCUCCCAUCGGCUACGAGCACAGAGCAUCAUCAUCAUCAGCCUGCCAGCCGGCCCCGCCGCCGCCUCGCGCCCUGCCGAGGCCCGGAAACCCGCCCGGGACGUGAGCCCCGAGGGCGCGGCACACCCCGGGCGCCCCCACCCCGAAGCGAGCCCGGGGCCCUCUGCUGCGGAGCCUAGCUCCCGCGGUAGCGCAGCCAUGGCACGGGCUGUUACUGUGUCCGAAUAAACGAUGGGAGCCUCCAGGCUGCUCCUCCCGUCCUUCCAAGCAUUCCUAGGGAGAGGAUUUAGGGGAAGCCCUCUUGAAAGACUGUAGAAUAACCCAGGACUGUAGAAGAGCCUUGUCAGCAGCAGUGACCCGGGAGAUGGGCAAUGCAGGACCGGGAAUUUCAGGUUAAGGUUGAUCACCAAGGUCAUUCCGAGCACCUCGAUGUCUGCAGCAAAGUCGUCUCCCGAUACCAGAGGGCAAGGGCCGCUUCUAAGCUACAGAAACUUAAGUGACUUUGAAACGAGAUAGCCCGGGGACAGCCCAGGUGCCUCUUUCCUAGACCUGUGCGUUUGCGGAGAUGCAACUACCCUUCUGUCCCAGCCUUCUUCCCGUCCUGUU